UACAGAGGCCCCAAGCGUUAGGCGGAAUCACUGGGCUUAAAGCGUGUGUAGGCGGGUCGUUAAGUACCUUGUGAAAUCCCACGGCUUAACCGUGGAACCGCUUGGUAUACUGGCGGUCUUGAGCCACUUAGGGGCUACCGGAACAGAUGGUGGAGCGGUGAAAUGCGUAGAUAUCGCUUGGAACGCCGAAGGUGAAAACAGGUCGCUGGGGACGCGCCGACGCUGAGACACGAAAGCCAGGGGAGCAAACGGG
Molecule: ribosomal RNA, 253 nt
Filed under: uncultured bacterium
Lineage: Bacteria
Description: partial 16S ribosomal RNA
Rfam family: Bacterial small subunit ribosomal RNA
Source: RNAcentral